UGAACCAGUACCGUGAGGGAAAGGUGAAAAGUACCCCGGAAGGGGAGUGAAAGAGAACUUGAAACCGUGUGCUUACAAGUAGUCAGAGCCCGUUAAUGGGUGAUGGCGUGCCUUUUGUAGAAUGAACCGGCGAGUUACGAUCUGAUGCAAGGUUAAGCAGGAGAUGUGGAGCCGUAGCGAAAGCGAGUCUGAAUAGGGCGUUGAGUAUUUGGUCGUAGACCCGAAACCAGGUGAUCUACCCAUGGUCAGGUUGAAGUUCAGGUAACACUGAAUGGAGGACCGAACCGACUUACGUUGAAAAGUGAGCGGAUGAACUGUGGGUAGC
RNAcentral lists this ribosomal RNA (325 nucleotides) under Staphylococcus haemolyticus. Its description in RNAcentral is "partial 23S ribosomal RNA". It matches the Rfam family "Bacterial large subunit ribosomal RNA", at positions 491 to 819 of the family's 2925-position model. Lineage: Bacteria; Bacillati; Bacillota; Bacilli; Caryophanales; Staphylococcaceae. The record is from RNAcentral.